GCCUCUUUAUAAUCCAGCCCCUGACUCGUUUUGAGCAUGCUCAUUCAUUGUUAUGCGGUGGUCUGGUUACCCAACCACCCGCAGGAGUGCAGGAACCUUGUUGCCUCACUUCUGGCUGGAUCUGCAACAUCCUAAUGAGGCCUGCACCUCUGAGCACCAGAGAGGCUAAUAAAGAGCAUCCUUGCCCAGGUCCCACUCGGAACAGGAGAGGUGAAUGUUAAAAUGCCCUACGGCUCUCUGUCUUAGUCAGGGUUUCUAUUCCUGCACAAAACAUCAGGACCAAAAGCAAGUUGAAGAGGAAAGGGUUUAUUCUGCUUAUACUUCCACAUUGCUGUUCAUCACAAAGGUAAGUCAGGACUGGAACUCAAGCAGGUCAGGAAGCAGGAGCUGAUGCAGAGGCCAUGGAGGGAUGUUUCUUACUGAUUUGCUUCCCCUGGCUUGCUCAGCUUGCUUUCUUAUAGAAUGGAAGACUACCAGCUCAGCGAUGGCACCAGCCACAAUGGGCUGGGCCCUCCCACCCUUGCUCACUAAUUGAGAAAAUGCCUUACAGCUGGAUCUCAAGGAGGCAUUUCCUCAAGGGAGGCUCCUUUCUCUGUGAUAACUCCAGCUUGUGUCAAAGUGACACAAAACCAGCCAGUACAUUCUCAGAGCCCCAACAGAGGGGAUAUGCAUUUAAGAAAAACUGGCUGGUUCAGAUGACUUACCGGUCCCUCCUUUUCCUAGGACUGUUCUAGAACUGAAGCUGGUGAUGGGCCACACCCAGGGAGACGCUGCUUCUUAGGCCUUCCCUCCUGUCUCCAGCUCCCCCAUAAGCCAGGGAGCAGCGCUCUGCUGGUGUCAAGGCUGCUGCAAAACCAAGAGUGGAUGCUGAGUGGUGGUGAUCCAAGGCUUGUGUGAGUGCUCUACCUACCCCUCUCUCUUUUUAGUCUUCCAGGAACAAGGUCUCCAUUAAUUACCCAGACUGGUCUUGAACUCCCCCAUGUAGUCCAGGCAAUCCUCCUGCCUCAGCCUUCCCUAGCUGGAUCUACAGAUGUGUGCCGAAGGGUGGAUCUUUGGAAGGCAAUCGGCAAUCUGAGUAAAGGUUUUCCUAGAGAAAGAAGCCAGGGUUGUAAACACAGAAGCAAGCACUCUACGCAGAGGAAGAUGGGAAUGAAUGGCCCAAAAGAUUUCAAUAAAGCUCCCCAUAAAAACCAUGAGCCAGGUAUCCAUAUACCUGUACAACCCCCCACCCCCACCCCAGGUUCUGAAACACCUACCCAGGG
Molecule: long non-coding RNA, 1262 nt
Filed under: Mus musculus (house mouse)
Lineage: Eukaryota; Metazoa; Chordata; Mammalia; Rodentia; Muridae
Description: long non-coding RNA chr12:86821335-86822597
Source: RNAcentral